This is a long non-coding RNA of Asparagus officinalis (garden asparagus), 284 nucleotides long. RefSeq lists it as uncharacterized. NCBI's taxonomy places the organism in Eukaryota, Viridiplantae, Streptophyta, Magnoliopsida, Asparagales, Asparagaceae. The transcript has 3 exons. The record is from RefSeq and is a predicted model, not a curated record.
CGGGGACAGAUACAUAUGCAUCUCCUAUGAGUCCACCUAUGAGUCAACCUCAUCAUCGGGAUUUAUCGCCUAAUCUAGAAAAAUCUAUCACAUUGCAAAAGAAAUGCGAUAGGAACUAUAAAAGGAGGAGGGAUGACAUAUUAAAGAAGGAUCGUAUAAUAAAGCAGACAUUAGAAAAGGCGAUGUCAAAUCAAUUGAGGGAAAUUGGACUACGAGAAGGCCGGUAGGCAUGGUAGUGAUCUGCAAAUGAAGAUACCUCCUAAAGGUUAUCGAGCCAUUUUGGG